GUGGCUAAUUUGACUCAACGCGGGGAAUCUUACCGGGUCCGGACACACUGAGGAUUGCCAGACAGUUGUCUUUCCCUCCCUUCGGGGUGGGAUUACAAAAGAUAACAGAUCUUUCAUGAUCAUGUGAUGGGUGGUGCAUGGCCGUUCUUAGUUCGUGGAGUGAUCUGUCUGCUUAAUUGCGUUUCAAAUUUUAUAUUUGUUAACAUGCGAGUCUUCAAUGACGGCCACUCCACCUUAUAGACAUUAUAUGAUAUGCACAUUUGUGUAUUUGAUUAUAACUUGUCUGGAGUCUGGCUCGAUUUUUUUGACUCAAUUGAACGCAACGGACGUGAUUGCAAGUCCUUGUUGAACAAAUUAUAUAUAUACUACUUCAUCAUUAGUAUAUAUAGUUCGCUUCUCAUGUCGUAGCAGUCAAACGGGCGGGCGUCUUAAUUGGCGCGGUCACGAGGCUUAAUAUGCUGCGGCUGGGAAAACUUGGGCGACCGCUGUAAUACUUCUCUCUUAAACCAGAGGAAGAUUGCGGCAAUAACAGG
RNAcentral lists this ribosomal RNA (533 nucleotides) under Globigerinella siphonifera. RNAcentral's name for it is "SSU rRNA". It matches the Rfam family "Eukaryotic small subunit ribosomal RNA", at positions 1191 to 1460 of the family's 1831-position model. The record is from RNAcentral. Lineage: Eukaryota; Foraminifera; Rotaliida; Globigerinidae.